This 687-nucleotide long non-coding RNA is filed under the name Hordeum vulgare. RNAcentral's name for it is "long non-coding RNA (HVUL_LNC019660)". The record is from RNAcentral. Lineage: Eukaryota; Viridiplantae; Streptophyta; Magnoliopsida; Poales; Poaceae.
AAAAAUUAAAGAUUAUUUGAAGUUCUAAAUUGUUUAUAAUACAAAAAUUAAAACGGAACUGAAAAUAAAUAAAUAAAUAGAACUAAAAACAGGCGCCUGUAUAUGGACCGGUUCAUACGGUGUGCUGGAUAGUCUCCCAGCAUGCAGAGCGUAAUAUAGGAGGUUUUUACAUGGGCCGGCCCAGUCCAAGAUUUUGUGCUUUGUAAAACGUUUCUAUUACUUACCGGUGAUAUAGUGGGUAAUUUAUGUAAACUUUAAGGGUAAUUUUCAUGACGGACGAUCAGAAACCGUAUUUGCUUUUUUAUUAGGGGGCUGCUACCAAUCCACCGGUGGAUAUUUACUAAAAAUCCAUCACCUCCACAGCCGUUCGAUCUCGUCCAUAGCCGUCCGAUCCGCUCCUGAUUUAAUUCCUGAAACGACGUUCGAGUUCCAGAAACAAUCGCUUUGUUGCAAAAAAUAAACUUUGGAUCCAUUAAAUCCUGAAACAACGGUCGAGUUUCAGAAACAAUUUGCUUGUUGCAGGAUUUUUUCCUUCGUUUUUGCGGAAGAAUUUUUUGCAACAAAGAUCAUGUUUCAGGAAUUUUUGCAACAAAGGUCGAGUUGCAGAACCACUACUAGCGAGCAGGGAAACUCUUGGCGGCGGGGCGGGGCGGCCGGCGAGCUCUACGCGGCGGGGCGGCCGGCGAG